UUUCGGGCUUGAUGGUUUGAGAGUUACUUAUAUAUUUUUUCUGGAAUUCAUUUUCAUUUCUCAUCAAAAGUACCCAUAAGCCUUAUGGCAUAAUAUACAUUGCAACAUCCUGAAAUCUAUUACCCUAGUAUUUCUCAAUGAGACAUAAUAGCUGAGCUUCGUGAGAACUGAAGCAAUCAGUAGGAUACAAUGCAGUGCAAACUGUUCAAGCAAUUCUUGAACUCCAUUCCAAUGCAUUCAAAUGGUAAACACUGUGAAGAGAACUCUUUUAUGAACUCUCAACCCUUCAUUGUUACAACUUCCAAGUAAAACAGGUGCUGUCUUCUCCAUCAUUCGCUCUAUCACGAAGGAGUGCCGAGGAAAAGAGGUGGCAGGUGGACUAUGUCCUCUCCAUCAAGGUAACGAUAGCUGGAGAAAAGUAGGUAACUACUCACUUAAUAAAACAGAAAGAAGCGGUGACCAAGAAUUACACAACUUCUUCAAGGAGGAGAUAUCAAAGGAAAAAUUAUACAAUCGAUUAUUAAAUAAAAUGGAUAAAAAGUGGAUCGGGUGGGGUUGGGAGGAAA
RNAcentral lists this long non-coding RNA (566 nucleotides) under Bos taurus (domestic cattle). RNAcentral describes it as "long non-coding RNA NONBTAT012655". The record is from RNAcentral. Lineage: Eukaryota; Metazoa; Chordata; Mammalia; Artiodactyla; Bovidae.